RNAcentral lists this ribosomal RNA (242 nucleotides) under uncultured bacterium. RNAcentral describes it as "partial 16S ribosomal RNA". It matches the Rfam family "Bacterial small subunit ribosomal RNA", at positions 15 to 248 of the family's 1533-position model. The record is from RNAcentral.
GAUCCUGGUUCAGGAUGAACGCUAGCUACAGGCUUAACACAUGCAAGUCGAGGGGCAGCAUGACGAUAGCUUGCUAUUGUUGAUGGCGACCGGCGCACGGGUGAGUAACGCGUAUCCAACCUUCCCGUUGCUAGGGGAUAACCUUGCGAAAGUAAGACUAAUACCCUAUGAAGUUCUUCGCAGACAUCUAAAGAGAACGAAAGAUUUAUCGGCAACGGAUGGGGAUGCGUCUGAUUAGGUUG